Mycena alexandri is the source of this 94-nucleotide non-coding RNA. The record is from the annotation of a GenBank genome assembly. NCBI's taxonomy places the organism in Eukaryota, Fungi, Basidiomycota, Agaricomycetes, Agaricales, Mycenaceae.
GAGCCAAUGGCACAACGGUUAGUGCGCUUGCUUUAGUUACUCGAUAUUUGUAUGAUUUAAGCAAGAGGUCCUCGUUCGAUCCGGGGUUAGGUCA